Molecule: long non-coding RNA, 810 nt
Organism: Salvelinus namaycush (lake trout)
Lineage: Eukaryota; Metazoa; Chordata; Actinopteri; Salmoniformes; Salmonidae
Exons: 3
Source: RefSeq, a predicted model, not a curated record
UACCACAGAUCAAAACCAACCAUGGAGGAAGAGAGGAGCGCACAGCCAAAGUCAUGGUCAAGCGCUAAUGUUUACUCUUUGGUUUGGAGGGCUUUUGGAUGGACUCCAUUUUGAAGAGCUCACAUCAAAUUGACUCAAGCCCUUCCGCUGCUAGCUAGCUACCACCGCUAGCCACUCUUUAUUGUUCAUCUACCUGCAGUAAUGUGGACCUCUCCUGUCUUUUAAACCUGCCACUGCCACUGGUCUCCGGGAUCAGACAUGGUGUCGGGGGAGAGAGAUGAAGACAGGAAAAAAAGGCUCAGCUAAUGACUAGCUCUUAUGCAUCAGUACACUUACUAAUGAGCUUCCAGGGAGAGGCUGAAGGAGCUGGAGCGAAGGCUGAGUUGGGAUGUGAGAGGCCUGGACCAUCACUUCCCCGCUGUGAUCCCUGCCUUCCCACUCACAGGGAGCCCGGGCUCCCAGCCACUAAUGAGUGUUAGAGGGAAAGUCCAAGCCCGCGUCCACCUGCCAGCCUUCAGAGCCCAGCCCGGUGCAAGACAGUGGGGGUCAGACGCAUUCCUGAGCUCUUAAUAAUUUACAUCAUAUUGAUUUCCUUACUGUUAGACACUCUCACCUGGAUGGGCUCGCUCUUUCACAAAGAAGCACAUUCCAACCAGAGAGAGGAAUUAUAACGAUACAAUAGAAUCCAUGUCUCUCUGCCCAGGUUCCAAGAAAUAAAAAACAGAGAAGUUAUUCAACCCUCACAAAAAAAUCGAUCAAAGGAUGCCCACCAGCCUCACAAGACUCGUCUGAAGGUUGCUAAAAAAAAUG